GACGAACGCUGACGGCGUGCCUAAUACAUGCAAGUAGAACGCUGAAGGAGGAGCUUGCUCUUCUGGAUGAGUUGCGAACGGGUGAGUAACGCGUAGGUAACCUGCCUGGUAGUGGGGGAUAACUAUUGGAAACGAUAGCUAAUACCGCAUAAUAACAGUUGUUGCAUGACAACUGUUUGAAAGGUGCAAUUGCAUCACUACCAGAUGGACCUGCGUUGUAUUAGCUAGUUGGUGGGGUAACGGCUCACCAAGGCGACGAUACAUAGCCGACCUGGGAGGGUGAUCGGCCACACUGGGACUGAGACACGGCCCAGACUCCUACGGGAGGCAGCAGUAGGGAAUCUUCGGCAAUGGACGAAAGUCUGACCGAGCAACGCCGCGUGAGUGAAGAAGGUUUUCGGAUCGUAAAGCUCUGUUGUAAGAGAAGAACGAGUGUGAGAGUGGAAAGUUCACACUGUGACGGUAUCUUACCAGAAAGGGACGGCUAACUACGUG
This 495-nucleotide ribosomal RNA is filed under the name uncultured bacterium. RNAcentral describes it as "partial 16S ribosomal RNA". It matches the Rfam family "Bacterial small subunit ribosomal RNA", at positions 28 to 507 of the family's 1533-position model. The record is from RNAcentral.